RNAcentral lists this ribosomal RNA (476 nucleotides) under Neisseria flavescens. Its description in RNAcentral is "bacterial SSU rRNA". It matches the Rfam family "Bacterial small subunit ribosomal RNA", at positions 30 to 495 of the family's 1533-position model. The record is from RNAcentral. Lineage: Bacteria; Pseudomonadati; Pseudomonadota; Betaproteobacteria; Neisseriales; Neisseriaceae.
AUUAAACGCUGGCGGCAUGCUUUACACAUGCAAGUCGGACGGCAGCACAGAGAAGCUUGCUUCUUGGGUGGCGAGUGGCGAACGGGUGAGUAAUAUAUCGGAACGUACCGAGUAAUGGGGGAUAACUAAUCGAAAGAUUAGCUAAUACCGCAUAUUCUCUGAGGAGGAAAGCAGGGGACCUUCGGGCCUUGCGUUAUUCGAGCGGCCGAUAUCUGGUUAGCUAGUUGGUGGGGUAAAGGCCUACCAAGGCGACGAUCAGUAGCGGGUCUGAGAGGAUGAUCCGCCACACUGGGACUGAGACACGGCCCAGACUCCUACGGGAGGCAGCAGUGGGGAAUUUUGGACAAUGGGCGCAAGCCUGAUCCAGCCAUGCCGCGUGUCUGAAGAAGGCCUUCGGGUUGUAAAGGACUUUUGUCAGGGAAGAAAAGGCUGUUGCUAAUACCGACAGCUGAUGACGGUACCUAAGAAUAGCACGG